UACGGAGGGUGCAAGCGUUAUCCGGAUUUACUGGGUUUAAAGGGUGCGUAGGUGGGUCUUUAAGUCAGUGGUGAAAUCUCCGAGCUUAACUCGGAAACUGCCAUUGAUACUAUAGAUCUUGAAUUAUCUGGAGGUAAGCGGAAUAUGUCAUGUAGCGGUGAAAUGCUUAGAUAUGACAUAGAACACCAAUUGCGAAGGCAGCUUACUACGGAUCGAUUGACACUGAGGCACGAAAGCGUGGGGAUCAAACAGG
This 253-nucleotide ribosomal RNA is filed under the name uncultured bacterium. RNAcentral describes it as "partial 16S ribosomal RNA". It matches the Rfam family "Bacterial small subunit ribosomal RNA", at positions 524 to 776 of the family's 1533-position model. The record is from RNAcentral.